UUCAACAGUCUAUUUCUUGCCAGAUGGUGUAGGUAACGUAGCCAGCUUGUAGAGGCAUAAUGCUUGUUUCAGAACUCAAAUUGGCAUCAGGGAGGAAAUGAUUAUGCAGUAGGAAACAGGACUUCUGACUUUUUUCAAAAGUAGGAAGAGAAUUAAGAAGAAGUGAGACAUGGAGCUAUGGUAAAAAUAUCCUGCACAUUGUAGAGGGGAUGGAAUUUGAUCGCGGAUAUUUUUCUCCUUAACAUGAUUGGAGUUUUGGAUCUCAUAUUUCUAUCUGUUGGUGUAUGGUAUUUAAGAGGGGAAACUUCUGUAUUCGCAAUUGCUUUUGGUUGCCUAAAACAUCGCAUGGUUCAAGGAUAUUUUGAAACGAUACUACGAAGUCUCCAAUCGUGAUAGUUGCAUACAACAUUGAAGAGGAAGAUCAGGCUCCGUCGUUAAUAGGUAGUUGCUAUUAGAGGCCUUACCUUCACUGAGUGCUACUGUCUCUUGAUAGGAAAUAAUGAGACAAGAAUGCUUGAAUAUGGAAUUUAUCACAUUCUUUCA
Molecule: non-coding RNA, 543 nt
Organism: Coffea arabica (coffee)
Lineage: Eukaryota; Viridiplantae; Streptophyta; Magnoliopsida; Gentianales; Rubiaceae
Source: RefSeq, a predicted model, not a curated record